This 379-nucleotide ribosomal RNA is filed under the name uncultured bacterium. RNAcentral's name for it is "bacterial SSU rRNA". It matches the Rfam family "Bacterial small subunit ribosomal RNA", at positions 29 to 402 of the family's 1533-position model. The record is from RNAcentral.
AACGAACGCUGGCGGCGCGCUUAACACAUGCAAGUCGAACGAGAAGGCGUAGCAAUACGCUUGUACAGUGGCGAACGGGUGAGUAAUACGCGGGCGACCUACCCUCGAGUGGGGAAUAACCCGCCGAAAGGCGGGCUAAUGCCGCGUACGCUUCCAUCUUUAUGGAGGUGGAAGGAAAGCCGUGCCGUGGGCACGGCGCUCAAGGAUGGGCUCACGUCCUAUCAGCUUGUUGGAGGUAACGCCUACCAAGGCUCCGACGGUAGCUGGUCUGNGAGGACGAUCAGCCACACUGGCACUGCGACACGGGCCAGACUCCUACGGGAGGCAGCAGUGAGGAAUAUUGCGCAAUGGGCGAAAGCUUGACGCAGCGACGCCGCGU